Etheostoma cragini (Arkansas darter) is the source of this 578-nucleotide non-coding RNA. The record is from the annotation of a RefSeq genome assembly. NCBI's taxonomy places the organism in Eukaryota, Metazoa, Chordata, Actinopteri, Perciformes, Percidae.
GGACCUGAACAGAAAGCUGACAGAGCGUCACGUCGUCUUCAACAAGAUGUUAACGCUCUUCAUGGUUUGCUUCCUUUAUCUGCCAUGUAUUAAGGGUGCCUCUAAUACCAACAGUGUCUUCCAAACGCCUCCUUUCAUCAUUAAGAAAACUGGUGAAUCGGUUACCAGUGAGAUCAACUGUUCACACAGCAUAACAGGCUAUGAUCGAAUUCUGUGGUACAAACAGGACGAGCAGAAAGCUCUAAAGCUCCUGGGAUAUCUGAAUGUGAUCCACUCAUACCCCGAGGUUGACGUGAAAGGAAAAAUCAACUUUGACGGAGAUGGCCGUACACAUUCCGACAUCACCGUUUCUUAUCUGUCAUUAAAUGACAACGGUGUGUAUUUCUGUGCUGCCAGUAAGCACAGUGCUGCAGAUUCCUCUCAAGUCAACACAAAAACUCUUAUCUGUCUGCAGAGAGACAGCAUGUUUAGGCGCUCCAACACCUGCAGCUUUGAAGAUUACAUAUUACUGUUAAGACACAAGUGUGACCCACUCUGAGGAUAAAACUACUGCAACACACAUUCAUUUUGUCACUUUG